RNAcentral lists this ribosomal RNA (434 nucleotides) under uncultured bacterium. RNAcentral's name for it is "partial 16S ribosomal RNA". It matches the Rfam family "Bacterial small subunit ribosomal RNA", at positions 29 to 507 of the family's 1533-position model. The record is from RNAcentral.
AGCGAACGCUGGCGGCAGGCCUAACACAUGCAAGUCGAACGAACCUUUCGGGGUUAGUGGCGGACGGGUGAGUAACACGUGGGAACGUGCCUUUAGGUUCGGAAUAACUCAGGGAAACUUGUGCUAAAACCGAAUGUGCCCUUCGGGGGAAAGAUUUAUCGCCUUUAGAGCGGCCCGCGUCUGAUUAGCUAGUUGGUUGAGGUAAUGGCUCACCAAGGCGACGAUCAGUAGCUGGUCUGAGAGGAUGAUCAGCCACAUUGGGACUGAGACACGGCCCAAACUCCUACGGGAGGCAGCAGUGGGGAAUCUUGCGCAAUGGGCGAAAGCCUGACGCAGCCAUGCCGCGUGAAUGAUGAAGGUCUUAGGAUUGUAAAAUUCUUUCACCGGGGACGAUAAUGACGGUACCCGGAGAAGAAGCCCCGGCUAACUUCGUG